UGUGGCAGCCCUGAGAGCCAGGUGGAGUUGUCCUUUCAUCUGUCCCUCUUGGCUGCCAGC
This is a microRNA precursor of Chlorocebus sabaeus (green monkey), 60 nucleotides long. NCBI's taxonomy places the organism in Eukaryota, Metazoa, Chordata, Mammalia, Primates, Cercopithecidae. The record is from Ensembl.